CCUCCUCAUAUUUCACUGAUUUACUCUGUGAAAUUGCUGGCUGUCACUCAUAGACUCCCUUUAACCAGACAACUGCAAUCAUAACGCCUGCCACUAAAUCUUUGGGAAAGUGCAAUUUAAAAAAAAAAAUAUUAACAGACUAAGCUUUCAUUUUGGAAAAUUGAAAACCAUGGAAGAGUCCCCGAGCAGCUCUGUUUACGGGUUACAGAUGAAAUAUGGAAUUGCACCUGCUCCUAGGAAGAAGAGAGCUGUUCCUCAGUGUUUUGUGACGGAAAUGAAACACAGUUACAAGCACCCGCAAAAGCUGGCAAAGCUGAAGAACAACACCUCCCGCUAUGGAUGUAACACCCUGCAUGGCGUGUACGCCAAAGGCAUAGUCCCCACAAUGGUUCAUGACAACAAGCACAAUCAAGAGACCAAGAAACCACUCGCCACCAAAUCCAGACAAACUGGAGGAAAAACAGUGGACAACCAUGGUAUGCUCACAUCCCCGCAACCCAGCGAACACCAGCAGCUUUCUGGAUGUGUCGCGGGAACUGAUAAGCAGGUUCUGGAAGCUGCUGUGCAAAGUCCUGCUCCAUCCAGUCCUGUACAAGGGAUGGAGUAUCUGCCUGCUGUCCACUAUCAGGUCUCCGAACACGUGCCAACAUGGAUAUCAGAAUGGCCAGGACCUCUGUAAAUGGGCCAGCUUCAGCCAACCAAAGUCAAACUUCAGAUUUAAUGCAUUAAAAAAAUAAAUGAACUGCCU
RNAcentral lists this long non-coding RNA (748 nucleotides) under Scleropages formosus (Asian bonytongue). Its description in RNAcentral is "lncRNA (ENSSFOG00015024592.1)". Lineage: Eukaryota; Metazoa; Chordata; Actinopteri; Osteoglossiformes; Osteoglossidae. The record is from RNAcentral.